This 91-nucleotide microRNA precursor is filed under the name Canis lupus familiaris (dog). RNAcentral describes it as "mir-8799 microRNA precursor family". It matches the Rfam family "mir-8799 microRNA precursor family". RNAcentral also lists the same sequence under 1 other name. The record is from Rfam by way of RNAcentral. Lineage: Eukaryota; Metazoa; Chordata; Mammalia; Carnivora; Canidae.
GGGGUGAGGCCGGAUCCUGGGCUGUGUCCCCGGCGCCCUGGGCUCAGGGGCCUGUGCUGCUAGAAUCGCGCUCCCGGCAGCACAGCCCCUC